CGGUGACAGGUGUUGCAUGGCUGUCGUCAGCUCGUGUCGUGAGAUGUUGGGUUAAGUCCCGCAACGAGCGCAACCCUCGCCUCUAGUUGCCAUCAUUAAGUUGGGCACUUUAGAGGGACUGCCAGUGAUAAGCUGGAGGAAGGUGGGGAUGACGUCAAGUCCUCAUGGCCCUUAUGGGUUGGGCUACACACGUGCUACAAUGGCGGUUACAAUGGGAAGCGAAAGGGUGACCUGGAGCAAACCCUCAAAAGCCGCCUCAGUUCAGAUUGCACUCUGAAACUCGAGUGCAUGAAGUUGGAAUCGCUAGUAAUCGCGUAACAGCACGACGCGGUGAAUACGUUCCCGGGCCUUGUACGCACCGCCCGUCACACCAUGGGAGUUGGUUUCACCUGAAGUUGGUAUGCUACCGAAAGGAGGCAGCCACC
This 425-nucleotide ribosomal RNA is filed under the name uncultured Alphaproteobacteria bacterium. RNAcentral describes it as "bacterial SSU rRNA". It matches the Rfam family "Bacterial small subunit ribosomal RNA", at positions 1029 to 1457 of the family's 1533-position model. Lineage: Bacteria; Pseudomonadati; Pseudomonadota; Alphaproteobacteria. The record is from RNAcentral.